This 492-nucleotide ribosomal RNA is filed under the name uncultured bacterium. Its description in RNAcentral is "partial 16S ribosomal RNA". It matches the Rfam family "Bacterial small subunit ribosomal RNA", at positions 29 to 507 of the family's 1533-position model. The record is from RNAcentral.
AGCGAACGCUGGCGGCAUGCCUAACACAUGCAAGUCGAACGGCACCACCGUAACAGCUUGCUCACACGUGCGUCGCGCGUCGGACCCGUGCCUUAUACACCGGAUACUUCUCCUUCGUGGGUGCUAAUGUAGGGUAACUUCUGCUAAUACCGCAUACGACGCAUGGGUGUAAGCACGCGUUGUAUUAACUUUUUGCUAUUGUAAGAGCCUAUGUCGGCUCCGCUAGUUGGCGGGGUUAAGGCGCACCAAGGCGGCGAUCCGUAUCUGGUCUGAGAGCGUGUUCAGCCACACUGGAACUGAGACACGGUCCAGACUCCUACGGGAGGCAGCAGUGGAGAAUAUUAGAGGAUGGGGGCAAGCCUGAUCCAGCCAUACCGCGUAGGUGAAGAAGGCCUUCGGGUUGUAAAGCCCUUUUGUUGGGAAAGAAAAGCAGCAGGUUAAUACCCCGCUGUUCUGACGGUACCCAAAGAAUAAGCACCGGCUAACUUCGUG